GGAAUAUUGGACAAUGGGCGCAAGCCUGAUCCAGCAAUGCCGCGUGAGUGAUGAAGGCCUUAGGGUUGUAAAGCUCUUUCGCCCGCGACGAUGAUGACGGUACCUGAAGAAGAAGCCCCGGCUAACUUCGUGCCAGCAGCCGCGGUAAUACGAAGGGGGCUAGCGUUGCUCGGAAUCACUGGGCGUAAAGCGCACGUAGGCGGCUUUCUAAGUCAGGGGUGAAAUCCUGGAGCUCAACUCCAGAACUGCCUUUGAUACUGGAGAGCUUGAGUUCGGGAGAGGUGAGUGGAACUGCGAGUGUAGAGGUGAAAUUCGUAGAUAUUCGCAAGAACACCAGUGGCGAAGGCGGCUCACUGGCCCGAUACUGACGCUGAGGUGCGAAAGCGUGGGGAGCAAA
Molecule: ribosomal RNA, 397 nt
Filed under: uncultured bacterium
Lineage: Bacteria
Description: bacterial SSU rRNA
Rfam family: Bacterial small subunit ribosomal RNA
Source: RNAcentral